Molecule: long non-coding RNA, 3738 nt
Organism: Saccostrea cuccullata (small rock oyster)
Lineage: Eukaryota; Metazoa; Mollusca; Bivalvia; Ostreida; Ostreidae
Exons: 2
Source: RefSeq, a predicted model, not a curated record
ACUUGAAAUGUCUGUUGUAACAGUAUAUGUAUACAUGUAUUGAGCUUCUGGAAUAUUUCAGAUCAUCUCCUUUCUAUGGCCAAGUAAUGAUAUCCAAUUAAAUCUUGUACGUUAUAUUCAUUCAUUUCCUUAUUUAGGGAAAGACAAUGGCGAUAAAAUACCUGAAAGUUCAGAGACCUCUUCGCGAUCAGCAUAGCUGGGAGUUUCUACGGUAAAAUGAAGAUGCAUACGAGGGUUGUCCAAAAAGUUCGUUGACAAUGACGUUUUUGUUAAAAUAAAUGGUUUAAUAUGCAUCUAUUGUAUGUCAAAAUAUUUCUUAUGAAAAACCUAGUCAGAUUUAUAUAGUUUUUAUUGGUGAAACUUAAUAUUUUUUGUAAAAUUCGGGGUCUUUUAUGAUCGCAGAUUGUGUGCACGGACCAGCCUGACGUUACGCUAAUUUUAUUACAACGUCAAACAUUUGGAUUUAGCAAAUGCAAUAUAUAUAGACUUAGUUUAAAAAAAAAGGUAUAACAAGUAAAUGGGGUCUAAGAAUACAAACUCCUAAAUGAAACUUUGACAAGUUUUGAGAAAGAAGAAAUUAUAUAUCCAAAAAAACGUGUAAUUCAAUUGAAUGGUCAAUUCCAGAAUGUUAAUCACUUGCUUUUAAUAUCAACGAGAAAAUGGGUUCAAUUUCACCAAUGUAUUAUUACAAUAAGUACAAAUCCUGUUAUUCAAAAACUAAAGGUUGUGAAAAUAAAAUAUUUGAAUAUUGUAUAAAACACUGAAUAUUCUGAUCAAAGGAAAUAUUUCCAUUUACCACAUAACUUUUAAAUAUCGUAAAAUAUCAUUUAAUGCAUUACAUUAUGCAAAUUCAUCAGUAUAAAAUAAUUUACUUAUCACUAAAAACAUUUCUAUUCUUAAUAUUCAAAUGAAAUUCUAUUUCAACACAAAUAGACGUCACAAUACAUGUAUACACAAAUUUCACUAAACACAAUUCUUAAUAAAUGUACCGUCGCCUGAGAAUUAUAAGGUUCUAACUGAAUUUUGUAAAAUUUUGGGAAAUUGAAGUUAAAGUUCGGGGAUGAAUAUCUUUUUACUCAUAGCAUUCUGGACUAUGAUAUAAGGCAUAAAUGCAUAAAAUGAGAUAAUCUACGGGAAAAUAAAUUUAAUGUUUAGCAAAUUUGAGCAUGAAUAUGAAACAAAUGACAUUGAAAAUGGGGAUAGAACUUUUUUUCAAAUAUUUUUGCGCAUUUUGGUGAGAAUUAAAAUACUCCUGGAGAUAGAACUUUUAUUUUUGGAGAAAACUGAUAAAAUGUUUCACUUUUUGAACAAAAGAUUAAUGUGAAAAUAGUAGGGGGCGUUCAUUUCAUUGGGGGCUGUUUUUUUAAUUCACUCAAUUGAUUUUUUUUAACAAAAAAAUUCUAUUGUGCAUUUUUGAUUGAUUAGAAACGUUAACAUCAUUUUACAACAACAACAAUCAUACAUAACAAAAGGAGAAAGAAAGUUUCUGAUCUUUUUGAAAAAAAAAAAUAAGUUGAACAACAAGAGAAUAUCACCUGAACUUUCCGGUGCGUUUUGCUAGCCGUUUCCAUUGUUCUGGUCGGUAACUUCUUCAAACGUAAAUUGUUAAACAUUUUCAGUUUCUACUCCUGAAUAACAAUACCAAUGCACUUCAACCAAUUGUAGGGUAUUAGAAUAUCAUUAAUGGAUAAAAAAUAUUCAGGUAAUAUUAUUAAAUCAAACAAAUUAUCUAAUUGUGAAUUUUCAUGUUCUCUGACAUUCUUGGGUUUGAUAGAAAUGGAUGAAGAGAAGGUUGUUAAAGAUGCUUCAAAACCUUUCUUCUUUCCUAAUUGAUAUCUACCAGGCAAAUGUUUGCUUAAUUAUAAAUCGCCCUUUACCAAAACUAUGAAAACCAAGUCCUUGUCCCUGUGUCAAUGUUUUUCAGCCCUUAUGGUUCUCAUUGUUUAUAUAUAUGAAAAAUAUUAAAAGAUGAGCAUCAACAGGCAACUUUUUAUAUGAUAAAAAUAAACACAGCCUUCUAAAAAGAUAGCCCUUGGUUCAGACCCUUGGGUAGGACUAAAUUGGAUGUAAAUUAAAAUACAUAACCCAUUAAAAUAUCUUCCCUACAUGUACUUAUGUAGAACACAACACAAAUGAUGGACAUGUAUAUACCCAGUUUCUUUAACAAAAACUUUUUAAAAAGUUAUGGCUCGUGGUCCUAGCAUUCGGACCCAAUUGCAAUCUGGGCCACUGGCCAUUAAAAUAGGCUCUAAAUUCCUUUCCAAAAAUUUUCAAAUCUAUGUCAUUAUUUUGUAUCCAGCGCUCAUGCCUCAGGGUGAGGCUAAAUUGGUCAUCUGUUGAAAUUUAUUAUAUAAUAUCCCUGAGUUUUAAGAGGAAAGCUGCCUAAAAAUGAUUAUAACAGCCUCUCAAAACUAAUUUUGUGAGACCAGAGGUCCAGUUCUUUUGUACUAAAAUGCGAUUGCUUCAGAAACCAAUGAUACCCAGCUGACCGUCAUCACAUGCUUCAGCAAAGUCUCAAACUGAAUUUAUAAAUACCUUUCUUUAAAUAUGAAUAAGUUUAAGUAUCUUCACAGUGACCCCCCCCCCCCCCCAUCAAGUUUUCCAUUGAUAAGAUCACGUGUCCAAAGGUAUGCAUUAUGAUUGGAUAUUAUGGAGAUAGAACCCUCUAAUAUUUAUUAAUUUGCAUAAAAUGGAGAUAGAACUAAAAUUACUGUUAAUGUCUUCUUCAUUUUUGUCCAAAGGAACAAAGGGAUUUCAUCAGGAGAUUAAUUGAUUGUAUGUUGUUUAACGUCCCUCUCGAGAAUUUUUCACUCAUAUGGAGACGCCACCAAUUGCCGGUGGAGGGCUACAAAUUUUGUCCUAUGCUCGGCACUCAGGGCCUUUGAGCAGUGAGUGAUCUUUUUCCUGCCAGCACCUACUGCGACACAGGGCCUCGGUUUAUACGUCUCAUCCGAAAGACCGGUCUCCACGUCCCACAGUGGGACUCAAACCCGCGACGUAAAGAUUGACUCCUUACUUCGCGACUCUAGUUCAUAGGGAGAUAGAUCUCAGCGAGCCGAUUCCAACGAUAUGCAUAACUCUUUUUGACCAUGUUGGCACAUAGAACCUUAUAAUUCUCAGGCGACGGUAUGGUUUAUGAACCUAGCUGAUCUGUAUAUGAUUCCCUUCUCAGUCAGCCAUAUCUAUGAUAAAUUAUCAUAAAAUAAGUAUGACUUAUUAUUGACAACGUAUUUAAAACGUAUGAAAGAUAACUGUUUACUCAAAUCUCAUUCACAUAAUUUUCACACUUAAUGCUCAUAAUAAAUAUUGUUAAAAAUUUUAAUAAAGUUAACUGUUUAUCUGUUUAAUAUUUGUCCAAAUGUUCCAAAGUUCUGGUAAAUCAAAAAUUAAGAGAUCAAUACUGGAGUCAAUCAAUACUCUGCUCAAUUCUUAAGGAUCUUUUUUAAGUGUCUAAAAAUACAACAGUAGUAAACUUCUCACCAAUCAUGGGUUAAUUUAUACAUGAAUAGCACGCUUGACCAAAUGGGAAGCACUGUGGAAAAGCCUUUGUGUAAUAAAUAUAUACAAACCCUUAUUCUUAAUACUUGGUAUGGAAAAAAAUUAUGAAAAAAAUUUGAAAAUUAAUUCAAAUGUUUUUUUUUUUUAAUAAGUGAUACCUCUAUUGAUAAAAACACGCUGUCACAAGCUUAUAAUCGUAUGAUGGACGGUAUACGAAAACCCAGAUUACACUGUAUAUAU